UUACGUCUUGGGGAUUACGACCCCAAGGUUGAAAUUAAAAGGAAUGGUUUGGGGGCCGGCACAAGCGGUGGACCAUGUGGUUUAUUUGGACCCAACGGGAAGAACCUUACCAGUCUUUGACUUCCUUGACCCACUCUAGCGAUAGAGUUCCCCCUUGGGGGCAAAAGGGCCAGGUGGUCCAUGGUGCUGUUCAGUUCGUUCCUUGAGUUGUUGGGUUAAUUCCCGCAACGAGCGCAACCCUUAUUUUUAGUCCCCUUCAUUUAGUUGGCCAUUCUAGCGAGCCUGCCGGGGCCAAACCGGAGGAAGGUGGGGAUGACGUCAAAUCAUCAUGCCCCUUAUGACCUGGGCUCCCCACGUGUUCCAAUGGGAAGUCCAACGAGUUGGGAAGUCGCGAGGUUAAGUUAAUUUUUUAAAGCUUCUUCCAGUUCGGAUGGUAGGCUGCAAUUGGCUUCCAGGAAGCCGGAAUCGUUGGUAAUCGCGGAUCACCCCGCCCCGGGGAAUACGUUCCCGGCCCUGGUCCCCACCGCCCGUCCCACCACGAGAGUUGGUACCACCCGAAGUCGGUGAGGUAACCUUUU
This 578-nucleotide ribosomal RNA is filed under the name Enterococcus casseliflavus. RNAcentral's name for it is "bacterial SSU rRNA". It matches the Rfam family "Bacterial small subunit ribosomal RNA", at positions 874 to 1444 of the family's 1533-position model. Lineage: Bacteria; Bacillati; Bacillota; Bacilli; Lactobacillales; Enterococcaceae. The record is from RNAcentral.